GACCGCGUAGCUCAGUUGGCAGAGCAUUGGGUUAGUAUUCCAAAGGUCGUAGGUUCAAUUCCCACCGUGGCCG
RNAcentral lists this transfer RNA (73 nucleotides) under Paramuricea clavata. It matches the Rfam family "tRNA". From Rfam's summary of the family: Transfer RNA (tRNA) molecules are approximately 80 nucleotides in length. Their secondary structure includes four short double-helical elements and three loops (D, anti-codon, and T loops). Lineage: Eukaryota; Metazoa; Cnidaria; Anthozoa; Malacalcyonacea; Plexauridae. The record is from Rfam by way of RNAcentral.